Non-coding RNA from Dermacentor albipictus, 2357 nucleotides. NCBI's taxonomy places the organism in Eukaryota, Metazoa, Arthropoda, Arachnida, Ixodida, Ixodidae. The record is from RefSeq and is a predicted model, not a curated record.
CUGGCCUGGCUACAUGGUGGCAGCGGAAACCAGCCGAAAUGUCGAUGGUGUCCGCGCUACUACCGCCCCCGAAGCCUAUGCAUCCGUCGCACGACCCUUGGAUUGCCUGAAAAACUUGGAAAAGUGAGUUUCUGCUUUUUUCCACUGCUACGCAAUUGAACAAGCAGCCAAAGACGUUCAAGCAGCCACGUUGCUAGUUACCAUCGGCGAAGAGGCUAGGAAGUCGUACAGUACCUUCAAGUUCAAUGAAGCGGAAGACAGGAAUGACGUUGAAGUUCUGAUUAAGAAAUUUGAGGAUCAUUACAAGCCUGCAACGAACUUAACAUUCCGAAAAUUUCGUUUUGGUUCAAGAAACCAAAAAGAAGGUGAGACGUUUAACAAGUGGCUAACAGAACUGCGUGGGUUAGCGAAGAAUUGUGAAUUUCGGGACCUUGAAGACCACACGUUGCGUAGCAGAAUCAUUUUCGGCACUCGGGAUAAGAGCCUACAGCAAAGACUGAUCGCGGAAAACCCGACAUACCAAAAGACAGUCGACAUUUGCCGCACGCAAGAACAAGGCAAAGAGGACUUUCGUGAGAUAAGUGAAGCUACGGGCGCCAGUGAAGGCACCAUAGUAAACGCGGUAGCAACAAGAAAAAACGUUUGCUACAAAUGUGGGGGUCAAAUGCAUCGCAGUGACACGUGCCCAGCAAAAAAAAAACAUGCCGGAAGUGCGGAAGGCUGAACCAUUUCGCUCGAGCAUGCAAGCCGUCGAACUUUCCGCGCAGUGCCAACCAACAAAUGCGACAGUUACGAGCCGGAGACGACGAAUUUUUUUUUUUUUGCAAACGUUGACUAUUGGUGCGAUAACCACCGAUCACUGGAGCGCAACGGUCUACAAUGAGGGCCAUGCCAUCAUGUGCAAGCUAGACACAGGCGCCAAUUGUUGUGAUUUCAAGAAACGACGUUGCAAAGCUGCCAAAAAAAGCCUCAACAAGCCUGCAAUGUCAAGCUCACAGCAUUCUUUGGCCACACAACAGCCGUGCAUGCGAAAGUCCAAUUGAUACUUUCAGCAAAUGGCAGAACCAAAAAACAAACUUUUUUUAUUGUCCAACAAGACGUCCCUGCCACUUUGAGUGGUGCAGCAGCUUAAAGUCUCGGCUUCAUAUACCGGAUGCAAAACAUACAGCAUGAACUAUACCCGCCAGCGCAGCCUUUUGCAGAGGUCUUCGAGGGACUCGGGCAGCUGAAAGAUUUUGAGUACGACAUGAAGCUCAAGCCAGACUCGGUGGGCGUCGUCGUUCCAGCAAGAAGAGUUCCUGUUGCUCUUCAGGACAACGUCACGGCUGAGCUACAGCGUAUGGAAGCACAAGGUGUCAUAACAAAGACCGAAGUCCGCUACCUAGGGCACAUCCUUAGCACAGAAGGCCUCCGCCUGGAACCUGGUCGAGUGAACGACGUACUGAAAAUAAAAGAACCAAAGAACAAUCCACGAACUCCGUCAAAGCACUACUAGCGCUCUGGCGUCAUGGUGCGCAGAGCUCCACACAUGGCUUACCGCUUAAGCUCUGCAGUCACAACGGACCACCGUUCACCAGCCGGCUUUUCAAACAUUUCCUGCAGCAGCUAGGCGUUGCCCAUGUUACGUCAAGUCCGUAUCAUCCCCGCUCUAUGGUAUGACGGAAAGAGCAGUACAAGAGGCCAAAAAGCUUCUAGAGAAAUGUUCACAUAACCGAGUUGACUUUCAUAUGGCGUUGCUCGAAUGGCGCAACACCCCAAGAGAUAUUAUAAAGUCGCCUGUGCAGAGACUCAUGGGACGGCAAACCAGGACCUUGCUGCCUGUGCCCACCAGCCACCUAGUACCACAGGCAGUAUCAAGUAACGCCGUCCACAGCUGGCUUCAGGAGAUCCGUCAACGCCAGGUCUAUUAUAACCGCGGAACGAGGCACCUACCACCCCUCUCUCCAGGUCAGGCAGUCACUACAUACGACACCCUCCAGCGAACCUGGUCGCCUGCUAUUCUAUUGAGGCCAGCCAACAGGUCAGCGAUCCUGAGAACGGAAGAUGGUCGAGAAAUCAGACGCACAAGAAAACCCCUGCGGGACAUUCCGAUCCAUCGCGAAGAUAGUCCAGCAGAGGCUCCCGGAGAAGGUUCCAAAGAAGACCACUCGUCCCAAGAUCUACGGAGAAGCACGAGGACUCGCCACAAGCCCUGUCGAUACCCGCAGCCUGAAAGGCAUCCUUAAUUUGUCUUCCAGUAAAGGGGAGAUGUAGCGCGGCUGAAUUUGCAGUCGUCACGGCACACCAGUAAUCCUGUGAUCUGUUACGUCACGUAGGCUUCACUAUAUAUGUAACUUGCGCAGCCGCAAUAAAGUUGU